CCUACGGGAGGCAGCAGUGGGGAAUAUUGGACAAUGGAGGCAACUCUGAUCCAGCGACGCCGCGUGAGUGAUGAAGUUCUUCGGAAUGUAAAGCUCUUUAAGCGGGGACGAAGGAAGUGACGGUACCCGCCGAAUAAGCCUCGGCUAACUACGUGCCAGCAGCCGCGGUAAUACGUAGGAGGCAAGCGUUAUCCGGAAUGACUGGGCGUAAAGGGUGCGUAGGUGGUUUGGCAAGUUUGUAGCGAAAGGCCGGGGCCCAACCUCGGGGCUACUACCGAAACUGUUGAACUUGAGUGCAGGAGGGGUGAAGGGAAUUCCUGGUGUAGCGGUGGAAUGCGUAGAUAUUGGGAAGAACACCAGCGGCGAAGGCGAUUCACUGGACUGUAACUGACGCUGAGGCACGAAAGCGUGGGGAGCAAACAGGAUUAGAUACCCGUGUAGUC
Molecule: ribosomal RNA, 443 nt
Filed under: uncultured bacterium
Lineage: Bacteria
Description: partial 16S ribosomal RNA
Rfam family: Bacterial small subunit ribosomal RNA
Source: RNAcentral